Molecule: long non-coding RNA, 245 nt
Filed under: Elaeis guineensis (African oil palm)
Lineage: Eukaryota; Viridiplantae; Streptophyta; Magnoliopsida; Arecales; Arecaceae
Description: long non-coding RNA (EGUI_LNC033142)
Source: RNAcentral
UCCCUUCUUGAUUUUUUUGGCCUACCAGAAGGUCUAUUAUAUACAGAUGCAUCUAGUGGCUCAAAAGAAGAGGGUUCCCAUGACUUCAUACUAGGUACAAGAUUGAUAUCUGGCUUGUAUGCUCUAACAAAAGUCUCUUUGGUGAUAACAACGAUCUAUAUUUUUCUCAACUUUUUUCCUAAAGAACAUGAUCGCUGCUGUUAUAUGGUAGCAUGUUAUACCAAUAACUCAAACUUCCUACACCC